CCAAUAGCGUAUAUUAAAGUUGUUGCAGUUAAAAAGCUCGUAGUUGAAUUUCGGGAUCAAUGCGUCGGUCGUGCCUCGGUACGCACUAACGAUAUUGACCUCUACCUUCUGACGAACCGUGAUGUCAUUAAUUUGGUGUUACGGGGGGUUAGGACUGUUACUUUGAAAAAAUUAGAGUGUUUAAAGCAAGCAAUCGCUCGAAUACAUUAGCAUGGAAUAAUGAAAUAGGACGUUCGAACCUAUUUUGUUGGUUUCUAGGAUCGACGUAAUGAUUAAUAGGGAUAGUUGGGGGCAUUAGUAUUCAAUUGUCAGAGGUGAAAUUCUUGGAUUUAUUGAAGACUAACUACUGCGAAAGCAUUUGCCAAGGAUGUUUUCAUUAAUCAAGAACGAAAGUGAGGGGAUCGAAGACGAUCAGAUACCGUCGUAGUCUUAACCAUAAACUAUGCCGACUAGGGAUCGGAUGAUGUUAAUUUUUUAAUGACUCAUUCGGCGCCUUACG
This 499-nucleotide ribosomal RNA is filed under the name uncultured Glomeromycotina. RNAcentral's name for it is "partial small subunit ribosomal RNA". It matches the Rfam family "Eukaryotic small subunit ribosomal RNA", at positions 591 to 1092 of the family's 1831-position model. The record is from RNAcentral. Lineage: Eukaryota; Fungi; Glomeromycota.